UACGAAGGGGGCUAGCGUUGCUCGGAAUGACUGGGCGUAAAGGGCGCGUAGGCGGUUUGUACAGUCAGAUGUGAAAUUCCCGGGCUCAACCUGGGGGCUGCAUUUGAUACGUGCGGACUUGAGUGGGGAAGAGGGUCGUGGAAUUCCCAGUGUAGAGGUGAAAUUCGUAGAUAUUGGGAAGAACACCGGUGGCGAAGGCGGCGACCUGGUCCUUGACU
RNAcentral lists this ribosomal RNA (218 nucleotides) under uncultured bacterium. RNAcentral describes it as "partial 16S ribosomal RNA". It matches the Rfam family "Bacterial small subunit ribosomal RNA", at positions 524 to 741 of the family's 1533-position model. The record is from RNAcentral.